RNAcentral lists this ribosomal RNA (229 nucleotides) under uncultured bacterium. Its description in RNAcentral is "partial 16S ribosomal RNA". It matches the Rfam family "Bacterial small subunit ribosomal RNA", at positions 568 to 796 of the family's 1533-position model. The record is from RNAcentral.
UGCGUAGGCGGGCUAAUAAGUCAGUGGUGAAAUCUCUCGGCUCAACCGGGAAACUGCCAUUGAUACUGUUAGUCUUGAGUUCGGUUGAGGUAGGCGGAAUGUGUAAUGUAGCGGUGAAAUGCUUAGAUAUUACACAGAACACCAAUUGCGUAGGCAGCUUACUAGACCGACACUGACGCUGAGGCACGAAAACGUGGGGCGCGAACAGGAUUAGAUACCCUGGUAGUCC